GCAUUUGACAUCGAGAAGUGAUGUUUAUGGAUUUGGGGUUCUUCUCCUUGAGAUGCUCCUUGGGAAAAGGGCAAUGGACAAAAGCAGACCUUGCCGGGAGCAUAACUUGGUCGAGUGGGCAAGACCGCUACUCAAUCACAACAAAAAGCUUUUGAGGAUCAUAGACCCUCGAAUGGAUGGGCAGUACACCACCAAGGCGUUGAUGAAAGUAGCUGAUUUGGCAUACCAAUGCUUAAGCCAAAACCCGAAAGGAAGACCCCUCAUGAGUCAUGUAGUAGAAGUCCUCGAGACUCUCAAGGAGGACGGUAAUGCCCAAGAGGAAGUCAUGGCUAAUCUCCAUAGCAGAGGCAAGUCUGUAACUUUAUAUCAAGCAGCUCCUUGUGAUUCUUCCCAAGGCACAAGAAACGUUGAUGGACAGAGGAGGAGUGGUAGAAGCAAGAGCGAAGCUUCCGUGGAUGUUUCUGCUCUUGUUUCAGACUCGGAUCCGGAAUCUACCAAAGUUUAAGACUCAAAACAAGAAAGAUUCACAAGUGAAUUGAGGAUUUAUGAUCAAGAAAGGUAGCAGAGUUGGGUUAAGUGUAUAAAUAAGCUGAGUCUUCGUUUUGGGGAUCCUUUUUUUCUCUUUUUAAUCUUUUUGGGGAUUACGAAUAUUAGUGCAAUAUGCAAUUUGAUCAACCUUUGAAAUUCAAAUGGAUUUUUGUUUUGAUCAAAGAAAAUGGUAUAUUUGACAAACUGAUUGCAUAACUUGGUAAUGCAUAGCAAUAUUAUAUAGCAUAUGAUAGGAGCACAUGUGUCUCUAUUCUUGUUUUGGUACAUAACAUGAUAAGACGCUGUCAGUUUGGUUGAGCCCAUGGAUCGAUCUGUGAACCUCCUGGAUCUAGCCUUAGGGUUUGAUGAGCCAUCGCCACUAAGAGGGAAGGUAGUGCUGAUCGAGGACUGUGUGGAGACGAGUGGUUCCUUUGUGCUUCACCAGAUGAUGAAGCGUGUUCUCUCCCCUCAUUCCUCUGAUUCCCUUAUCUUUCUCGCCUUUGCUCGCCCUUUCUCUCAUUACGAUCGAGUUCUGCGUAAACUCGUAAUCAUCCACAAUCCUUCUUUUUUUUCUUUUUUCUUUUUAUGUUCAUGGUUCUCAUUGUCUUACCAUGUUGGUCUGACAGGGAUGCAAUCUAGCUACUCAAAAGACAAACAAUCGAUUGGUUUUCGUUGACAUGCUCAUGAUGCAAUGCUCAGGUAAACUGGUGUUCUCCUAGUCAUUCGAGUGUUAGACGUACUUUUAGUUGGACUGUCGAUGUCUGAGAGUGCCUUGGCCUUAGGGAGAAUUAGGACAUCUCUAGAUCUGGCUCCUAACUUUUGGUUAUCUCGAUUGUUUUAUCACCAUUUCUUCUUUGAAAGCGACCACUUAAGCAAAUAUAGUAGCAUAUUGACUCUGCUCCCUGCAAAUCAGAUUUGGAAUAAUAUAAUUUUUUUUUUAACACAGAUAAUGAGAGUGGAGUUGCGAAGCUAUUUCGGGAGAUACAAGGAACAGUUGGAAAGCUACGCAGUGUGACUAAUAGCAACAUAACUGUUAUGGUGGAUGACAUGUCUCUCCUGGAAAUUGCUGCUGCCAAUAGCAAUUCAGAUCACGUCUUGGACUUCCUUCAUUACUGCCACACCUUAACUUCUGAAAGCGUAAGCUUUAUUCUUCUUUACUCUAUUAACCCCUUCUUAAUAACUUUUUUUCUCUACCAACAGAAUUGUUCGGUGGUCACUCUCAAUCACGAAGAUAUAUACUCGAGCAUGGAGAGACCUGCGUAUUUGCUACAGAUGGUAUGCCUUGCGGAUAUUGUGAUAAAAGCAGAGCCUUUAGCCUCAGGUUUAGCAAAUGACGUACAUGGCCAAGUAAAUCUCUCCUCCUCCUCCUUUUCUUUGGAAUCAUUAGAAACUAAUCUUUUGUGUUUGGCGUAAUACUAAUACAGCUGACAGUUGUGAACAAGGGGAUGAUAAGCAGCAAGUCGGGAAAAGGAAGCUCGAGGAACAAGUUGCAGAAUUUUCAAUUCAGGAUCAAGGAAAAUGGUAUUGAGUAUUUCUACCCUGGUUGCAGCAGAAACUGAGAGGAUUUGGAGAUAGUUUUUGACGGUUAUAAAUGUUGUAUGUUAGUGAGAUAUGCAGCUAAGACACGUGUGUGUGUGUGUGCGCUUUGGCAUAUGGAUGAGGAUUCUUUGACGGUUAUAAACUGAGGAUUCUUUGACUUGGUCGAAACACUGUUUUUCUUCUUUAAAAUUGGUUUAAACGGGCUUUAUUCUACAAAGUAUUGUUUCGUAGUAUUUUAUCCGGGUCGGGUUUAGUGUAACCGGAUCCUAAAUUCGUAACGAAAGAGAGAAGUCUCAUUCGUUUUCAACACCGACCAUUGGAGGGGGUCUAAUGUAUGGCUGGGACCUGUUUGGUGACGUGGAGAAAUAUAAUUGGUUAAAAAGUAAAUAAGAGUUAAGAGGGUUGGCUCUUCUGAUUUGGCGGCUAGUCUCUGAAAUUCCAUCGAUUCCAACGGAUCAUUCUCUCUCUCUCUACAAUUAUUCUUCCUUCCUUUUAUCUUUUUUGUUUUUCAUAUCUCUCUCUCUGCCUGACUCCGAGAAACCAUCAUCUCCAUUUUGUUUUUUUUUUAAGUAGCCAAGUUUCUCGGAGAUCGGGGCUUUUCUUCUCCUUGAUCCGUCUCAGAUUUCUUGCUUAAUAUGGAGAAUGUAAUCGAAUAAAAUAAAUAGCCUUUUUUAACCUCUAGGAGUUUCAUGGGGAUUUGCUUUAGCGCUCAAGGGCAGUUCCAAUUCUCUCAAAACCAAAACUCCUCUCAGAAGAAGACACCAGGACCAGGUAUCUCAAUCUUAUCACAUCGGAUUCGGAUCUCCUUUAAAAAAAACAAAUUGAAUUUUGCAGUGUAUCUAAUGAAUACGGAUUGUAAAGAGUCGUCGUCGUCGGUGGGUGGGAAACCGAGUCCAAGCGGUUUGCCUUUGCCUCCGAAAAACAUCAAAGAUCUGCAGUCCAAUCCUGGUUACGAGAACGUCGACAUCUUCACCUACGAGGAGAUGAAGUUAGCCACCAAGCAGUUCAGGCCUGAUUUCAUCCUCGGCGAGGGUGGUUUCGGCGUCGUCUACAAAGGUCUCGUUGAUGAGACCGUGCGGCCUGGUUACAACUCCACCAAAGUUGCUAUCAAAGAACUUAAUCCAGAGGGCUUUCAGGGAGAUCGCGAGUGGCUGGUAUAUAUGUGUAAUUGUGCUAUGUAUCUAGAGAGAGUUAUGUUUUUUCAAAGUGUUUGAUUUUUGUUGUUGUAGGCUGAAGUUAACUAUUUAGGACAGCUUAGUCAUCCCAACUUGGUCAAGCUUAUUGGCUACUGCUGUGAAGAUGACCACAGGUUGUUAGUCUAUGAAUACAUGUCAUUGGGAAGCCUCGAGAAACAUCUCUUUCGAAGUAUGUUUCUGUUUUCCUCCUUUGUUUGUUUGUGAUUUAAGUCUUUAUAUAAUAUGAAAUGUUUCUUUCUCUUGGCAGGAGUUGGUUGCACUUUGACAUGGUCCAAACGAGUGAAGAUCGCUCUACACGCAGCCAAGGGUCUCGCCUUUCUUCAUGGUGCUGAACGCUCCGUCAUCUAUCGAGAUCUCAAGACUGCCAACAUAUUGCUCGACGAGGUCUGCUCUGUUUUCAGAUUUUAGAAUUGUUAGUGAAGUUACUACAGUCUUGUUUCGAUUUGUCUGUCUAUGCUGCCCCCCCUCCUGAAAGGUGUAAUGCUUGUGCAGUGUUACAAUGCUAAACUCGCUGACUUUGGACUAGCCAAAGAUGGCCCCAGCGGAGAUCAAACGCAUGUGUCAACACGUGUUAUGGGCACUUACGGAUACGCUGCUCCUGAGUAUGUUAUGACAGGUCUGUCUGUCUUUGCUAAUUUUCCAUUCCCACUUUUCAUAGCUGUUUUUAAAAUGACUCUAUUUGUUGUUGUAAUUAGGGCAUUUGACAUCGAGAAGUGAUGUUUAUGGAUUUGGGGUUCUUCUCCUUGAGAUGCUCCUUGGGAAAAGGGCAAUGGACAAAAGCAGACCUUGCCGGGAGCAUAACUUGGUCGAGUGGGCAAGACCGCUACUCAAUCACAACAAAAAGCUUUUGAGGAUCAUAGAUCCUCGAAUGGAUGGGCAGUACACCACCAAGGCGUUGAUGAAAGUAGCUGAUUUGGCAUACCAAUGC
This 4191-nucleotide long non-coding RNA is filed under the name Brassica napus (rape). Its description in RNAcentral is "long non-coding RNA (BNAP_LNC007648)". The record is from RNAcentral. Lineage: Eukaryota; Viridiplantae; Streptophyta; Magnoliopsida; Brassicales; Brassicaceae.